GUGCAACUCGCCUGCAUGAAGUCGGAAUUGCUAGUAAUCGCGGAUCAGCAUGCCGCGGUGAAUACGUUCCCGGGCCUUGUACACACCGCCCGUCACACCAUGGGAGUCGGUAACACCCGAAGCCGAUAGUCUAACGAAAGAGGACGUCGUCGAAGGUGGGAUUGAUGACUGGGGUGAAGUCGUAACAAGGUAGC
RNAcentral lists this ribosomal RNA (194 nucleotides) under uncultured bacterium. RNAcentral describes it as "partial 16S ribosomal RNA". It matches the Rfam family "Bacterial small subunit ribosomal RNA", at positions 1305 to 1500 of the family's 1533-position model. The record is from RNAcentral.